UGUACAAUUAGAUCUUCUUGACUAAGAAAAAAUGCAGACAAGCAAUUACUCCGUUACUUUAAUUACUCUCCUAAUUAUAACGAUAACCUUGUCACAUUAUCAUAAUUCCCCAAACAGAAAAACGCAUGCUCCAAAUUGCACCAAUAUUUGGUAAUUUUACCUUGUUAACGGCUCACUGUCAGUAUGUAGAGCACUACAUUUUUUCCCCAUUACCUUUCUAUUGCACAAUCUAUAUUUCUUUGCCUCAGAAAAUGAUAAUACAUUCUGUACAACAUGUUUGUGUCGCACAAACCCGUGAUUCGAAUAUGGCUUUUUAACAUCUCGCAGUUUCAGAAGCUAUCUCCUGAGCAGUUUGUAAUUCUCCCCUGGCUGUUUGAUGGUAAUGGGAGCUGUACAUGUAUCUGGAGAGAGGAGAACCAGCCUGGGACUCAAGAUAUAUUAAAGACUAUGCUCAUGGGCAUCAAUUCUUUCCUGUCCUUUAGGGCAGUAUUCAGGCCACACGGUUCAAUAACAGGAAAGAAUGUCGU
Molecule: small RNA, 527 nt
Filed under: Pan troglodytes (chimpanzee)
Lineage: Eukaryota; Metazoa; Chordata; Mammalia; Primates; Hominidae
Description: retained intron
Source: RNAcentral